This 109-nucleotide non-coding RNA is filed under the name Bhargavaea cecembensis. Its description in RNAcentral is "TPP sequence". It matches the Rfam family "TPP riboswitch aptamer (THI element)". From Rfam's summary of the family: Vitamin B(1) in its active form thiamin pyrophosphate (TPP) is an essential coenzyme that is synthesised by coupling of pyrimidine and thiazole moieties in bacteria. The previously detected thiamin-regulatory element, thi box was extended, resulting in a new, highly conserved RNA secondary structure, the THI element, which is widely distributed in eubacteria and also occurs in some archaea. RNAcentral also lists the same sequence under 1 other name. Lineage: Bacteria; Bacillati; Bacillota; Bacilli; Caryophanales; Caryophanaceae. The record is from RNAcentral.
AACUGCCACUGGGGGAGCCUUUCAGAAAGGCUGAGACGCGCAUGGGCUGCGCGGACCCUUGGAACCUGAUCCGGAUCAUACCGGCGUAGGGAAGUGGGGCCCGCAGCUU